CUACGGGUUGCUGCAGUGGGGAAUAUUGCACAAUGGAGGAAACUCUGAUGCAGCAACGCCGCGUGGAGGAUGACACUUUUCGGAGCGUAAACUCCUUUUAUAUAGGAAGAAGAUGACGGUACUAUAUGAAUAAGCGCCGGCUAGACUCCGUGCCAGCAGCCGCGGUAAUACGGAGGGCGCAAGCGUUACUCGGAAUCACUGGGCGUAAAGAGCGUGUAGGCGGAUUAAAAAGUCAGAAGUGAAAUCCUAUAGCUUAACUAUAGAACUGCUUCUGAAACUCUUAAUCUAGAAUAUGGGAGAGGUAGAUGGAAUUUCUGGUGUAGGGGUAAAAUCCGUAGAGAUCAGAAGGAAUACCGAUUGCGAAGGCGAUCUACUAGAACAUUAUUGACGCUGAGACGCGAAAGCGUGGGGAGCAAACAGGAUUAGAUACCCCCGUAGUC
RNAcentral lists this ribosomal RNA (440 nucleotides) under uncultured bacterium. RNAcentral's name for it is "partial 16S ribosomal RNA". It matches the Rfam family "Bacterial small subunit ribosomal RNA", at positions 339 to 795 of the family's 1533-position model. The record is from RNAcentral.